GGGGUGGUGGCGCAGUUGGCCAGCGCGCGGGUAUUCAGCACCUGAGGUCGAGAGUUCGAAUCUCUCCCACCCCA
Molecule: non-coding RNA, 74 nt
Organism: Ipomoea triloba (trilobed morning glory)
Lineage: Eukaryota; Viridiplantae; Streptophyta; Magnoliopsida; Solanales; Convolvulaceae
Source: the annotation of a RefSeq genome assembly